AUGUUCUUGAUACAAAAACCACAUAUUAAAAUGCACAUUAAAAAAAUAAUCUCAAGAAGAAAAAACAAUAUGGGCCAAAGUAUGUUACAAUGGUUUAUUCACAAACAAGCAGGUGCACUGAAUUAACACUUCUUUAGGGACAAACAUAUCCAGUUAGAGGAGCCUAACAACGAUAGCUAAUAUUAGCACUGCAGAUGUGUGUGGCCAUCAAUUCCCAUGAUGCUCAUCGAAGCUUGAGGAUAAAGCAAUUAACAAACACCUGCAGAGCUAAAGUUAGCUGUCAAUGUGCUAUAGCAUUAGUGUGGAUCACACAUAUAAUUAACCUGCUAGUGUUACAAUGUAAAAUGCAGAAUUCUUCACUUGCACAUCAUUAAGUCAAAACAAAAUAUGCCACAAGAUAUGGUGUGUAUUUUCAACCGCAAAUGUCAAAAUAUUGGUAAUUAAAACCCUAACAUAAAUAAACAUAGCAUUGCUUCUAACACAGAUCCUGCUUACUUGAACACAGUCUGUCCGCAAUAACGAGAGAUGGGCAGACAGUCUGACAUUCAGAGAGACUGAGAUGGACAGACUCAAAUGAAUCUCGUACCCAUCAAUUUGUUUUCCAUUUAAUAUCGAAUUUAGAAAAAACAAAAAAAAAAGAUGAAUAUUCUUUGUGAUAAAAAUCAAAGUAAACGUUAUCAGAAAAUAAUCAAACUAGAACCAGGCUUUAUGAAAAAUCAUAUGCUUAACGCUUUGCAGAGAAGUCCCAGCACACACUCUAACGCCCUUACAGAGUGAUAGGAUUGUUCAAACAAUAGAUCAAUGUGUCAGUUACCAUCUUCAAAGCUGCUAUUCUGACAGCAGGAAUGAAACCGCAUUGUGCUCAUGGGAUCCGAGACGUAACCUGGAAAAUGUGAGAGAACAUAUUGAGACAAACGUAAAAAUAAGAUUG
Non-coding RNA from Pelobates cultripes (western spadefoot toad), 931 nucleotides. The record is from the annotation of a GenBank genome assembly. Lineage: Eukaryota; Metazoa; Chordata; Amphibia; Anura; Pelobatidae.